AUUUUGUUUAUUAAAAUAAAUAAACAGUACAUCACAUUAUCAAUCCACACUUUGUUUUCAGAAUCGAAUAACGAGCAGACAAACUUCACAAUAUAAUACAUCAUCACUUGCUGAUCCAAGGCAAAACUGCUCUAUUUCAUAAUAUGAAUGGAUUACAAACAGAUUUAUUUUACAGGAGAACCGCUCUAUUCCAAGAGCGAACAAACAACGACGAACACCACAUUAUCUUGACUUCUAUCGAUGCCCGUGCAUCCCUGGGAGCAUCCCUCUGCCCGUGGUCACCGGAGCUGGAGCAACUAGCAGUCACGCCCUCUACCUUUUUUUUCUCCAACGCCGCAGCUCCUCGAGGGGAGUGGACGGGGCCCGCAGCGAAGGGGGAAGUGGACGCGCCGGCGGGCGAGAUGGUGACCGGCGAGGCUGGGACCAGCGGGCGAGCUGUUGGCCAGCGAGACCGGGCGUCGAGGCAGUGGUGGGCGCCGGGGGCGAUGCCGGACGGGGCAGUCAGCGCCGAGCACGACAGUGGCGGGGCCGGAGGCGCGCGGAGGCGGGCGACUGGGCGGUGGAGGCGGGCGGCCGGCCGGAGGCCGCCGGAGUCGCGACUCGGGGGCAGUCGGGCGGAGGCGGGAGGCUUGGAUGGCGGUGGCGUGCGGAGCAGGAUGGAGGCCACCGGAGACGCGCGCAGGCGUGCGCCUGGGCGGCGGCCGGUGGAGUAGGGAUUCCGGGCGGUGGCCGGCAGUGCGCUGAGCCGCGCGGAGGCCAGCGGCGGCCGGGUCCUGCGAGGCAGCGGCGGUUGGUGGUGGAGUGUUGGUGCCUGGCAAGAGGAAUCACGGGUGGGGGUGGUGUCUACAUCUGCGCCAGAGAUAAGGUGGGGCCGGUUGCAUCACAUGGGUAGUGGAGAGAGAACGUGGGGAGUCGAGCGUGCUAGAGAGAUCCUAGAUCGUG
This 942-nucleotide ribosomal RNA is filed under the name Triticum aestivum (bread wheat). Its description in RNAcentral is "partial small subunit ribosomal RNA". The record is from RNAcentral. Lineage: Eukaryota; Viridiplantae; Streptophyta; Magnoliopsida; Poales; Poaceae.